AGAAUCAACGCUGGCGGCGUGCCUAACACAUGCAAGUCGAACGAGAAAGGGGUAGCAAUACCCUGAGUAAAGUGGCGCACGGGUGAGUAACACGUGACUAACCUACCCUUGAGUGGGGGAUAACUGAGGGAAACCUUAGCUAAUACCGCAUAAUACCUACGGGUCAAAGGAGCAAUUCGCUUCAGGAGGGGGUCGCGGCCGAUUAGUUAGUUGGCGGGGUAAUGGCCCACCAAGACAGUGAUCGGUAUCCGGCCUGAGAGGGCGCACGGACACACUGGAACUGAAACACGGUCCAGACUCCUACGGGAGGCAGCAGUGGGGAAUUUUGCGCAAUGGGGGAAACCCUGACGCAGCAACGCCGCGUGGAGGAUGAAGUCCUUCGGGACGUAAACUCCUUUCGAUCGGGACGAUUAUGACGGUACCGGAAGAAGAAGCCCGGCUAACUUCGUGCCAGCAGCCGC
This 461-nucleotide ribosomal RNA is filed under the name uncultured bacterium. RNAcentral describes it as "SSU rRNA". It matches the Rfam family "Bacterial small subunit ribosomal RNA", at positions 26 to 518 of the family's 1533-position model. The record is from RNAcentral.